AAUUACAUGGGAUCUUCAUUUCACAUGCAAAGACCACAAGACGCAAUAAACUGGAUGAGAUGCUACUGAAUUUCUGUCUCAGAAAAGAAGUGGAAUCACAACAAGUUAGAAAACUCAAAUACUUCAAGAUGGCAAUGAACAUUGAUUGAUGCCCGGCCCAUUUGUCAUCAGAUAGCCUUUACCGAACAACUGAUGGAAACAGAUUCAGA
This is a long non-coding RNA of Grammomys surdaster, 209 nucleotides long. RefSeq lists it as uncharacterized. Lineage: Eukaryota; Metazoa; Chordata; Mammalia; Rodentia; Muridae. The record is from RefSeq and is a predicted model, not a curated record. The transcript is spliced from 3 exons.